This is a long non-coding RNA of Cygnus olor (mute swan), 1340 nucleotides long. RefSeq lists it as uncharacterized. The transcript is spliced from 3 exons. NCBI's taxonomy places the organism in Eukaryota, Metazoa, Chordata, Aves, Anseriformes, Anatidae. The record is from RefSeq and is a predicted model, not a curated record.
GGCUUCGGCAGCUCCAAAAUGGCAGCGCGGGGCGCUGAGGGCGGUGGGGACCGAGCGUCGUUGGGCCGCGCCUCACGGCUCCCCCUUGAGGCGUCCGAGGAUUCCAUCUGCUACCCAGCAGCAAACAUUUUGUUCUCCAUCCAGAAAACACGAUGUAUAAAUUGCUAUCUGAAAAACUGCGUUGCUAUGUCUCAAUUGCAGUCUCCUUAGAUGGCCUUCGGGAAAUUGGCAAGACUGUACAGAAAGCGAAUAAAUUUGUAUACAAUACCUGCAGCAUAGAUUUGUCAUCUCAGCAGCCCUCUCUUUUUGAUGUAAAUCAUGAAACACAACCGAAGAAGAGCCACAGAGGGAAAGCCCAUGUGAGGAAGUAACGUGGUUAGUGCCAGCCCUCAGCUGCCCAUACAGAGAUUAACCAAGCUGCCUUUCAGGAAGCUGCAUGGCCAUUAUCCCAUCAGGCUGUGAAUUAACCAGCUUACAACAAGUGGUAGCUGAGAGGUCUCAGCAGUUCAGUCACCUGUCAUUGACUACCCUUUCCUCAAUUACAUGUUCUUUGUAUCUUCUUAUAACCUAAUUUCUAUACCCUUUCUAUUAUCAGGUUCCUGCUGUAUUACCAUGGCUAGACAACAGUUGACUGGACCUUUUUCAAACUGUUAAGUGUAUAAUAUCAUCUUAUGGGAAAUCCUCACCACAACAUUUUCAUACUGUUGCUCUUUAACUAGGACUGUAAUUACACAGUUUAAUUAGAUUUUGUUUGACAUGCAUCCACAUUGUGUCCUAUUCUUUAUUUGCAAUGUGAUUCUCCCCUCCACUAUAAAAUGACAGUCACAAUCUAUGCCAGCAUGUAUUAUUCAGUUGCAUACAAUGUAUCUGUUCGUAUUUUGUCAUACCAAAUACAUACCUUUUGAUCAGUCUUACUUUUCUCGAUUAUGGCUGUGCUGCUAAUGGAACAUGUUGAAGUACACACAACAAUGAAGCACUGGGAUAGUUGUCAAAUAUCUGAGUUCUGGAAGACAUUUGUUCCGAAGCCAUCUAAAGAAAAGAGGGGUGAAAAAAAGUGCUAUAGAUAAAGUGCUAUAGAUAAAGCUCACUAAAACAUGCCUGAGGACAUAAGAAAAUUGAAAAACAUCCCGUGUUAUUUGGACAGAAGUUUAUGUUUAUGCAAUCUUAAUUACUCAAGUUGUGACUGAACUCUGGGCACUGUACUUUAAGAGAUUAAUUGAUUUUCUAGCCUUUCCAAAGGACAAAUGUAGUAAGGACAGAGCUAAUGUCAUUAACCCUGUCAAAAAUGUCUUCUUAUUGUAUUCUGUUUUAUUAAAUGGUGAAAUUGUCUUUAAAGUGGU